Molecule: small RNA, 128 nt
Filed under: Marmota monax (woodchuck)
Lineage: Eukaryota; Metazoa; Chordata; Mammalia; Rodentia; Sciuridae
Source: RNAcentral
GCCAGGCACGGUGACACAUGCCUGUAAUCCCAGUGACUUGGGAGGCUGAGGCAGGAGGAUCAAAAAGUUCAAAGCCAGCCUUAGCAACUUAGCAAGGCCCUAAGCAACUUAGUGAGAAUCUGUCUCAA